This 630-nucleotide ribosomal RNA is filed under the name bacterium E3B6print. RNAcentral's name for it is "bacterial SSU rRNA". It matches the Rfam family "Bacterial small subunit ribosomal RNA", at positions 51 to 666 of the family's 1533-position model. The record is from RNAcentral.
AUACUGCAGUCGAGCGAAUCUUUGGGAGCUUGCUCCCAAUGGUUAGCGGCGGACGGGUGAGUAACACGUGGGCAACCUGCCUGUAAGACUGGGAUAACUUCGGGAAACCGGAGCUAAUACCGGAUAAUUCAUUUCCUCUCAUGAGGAAAUGCUGAAAGACGGUUUCGGCUGUCACUUACAGAUGGGCCCGCGGCGCAUUAGCUAGUUGGUGAGGUAACGGCUCACCAAGGCAACGAUGCGUAGCCGACCUGAGAGGGUGAUCGGCCACACUGGGACUGAGACACGGCCCAGACUCCUACGGGAGGCAGCAGUAGGGAAUCUUCCACAAUGGACGAAAGUCUGAUGGAGCAACGCCGCGUGAGCGAUGAAGGCCUUCGGGUCGUAAAGCUCUGUUGUUAGGGAAGAACAAGUACCGGAGUAACUGCCGGUACCUUGACGGUACCUAACCAGAAAGCCACGGCUAACUACGUGCCAGCAGCCGCGGUAAUACGUAGGUGGCAAGCGUUGUCCGGAAUUAUUGGGCGUAAAGCGCGCGCAGGCGGUCCUUUAAGUCUGAUGUGAAAGCCCACGGCUCAACCGUGGAGGGUCAUUGGAAACUGGGGGACUUGAGUGCAGAAGAGGAAAGCAGUA